CUAGAAUGCGCGGCCCCUGGUGACGGGAAGCCGGUCGAACUCCGGCGCUGCCCCCGCAACGGUAGGUCAGGACAUCCUUCCAGCAAGCCACUGUGCCGCCGGCAUGGGAAGGCGGAAGGACCGGCACGGCGACGUGCCACUGGCGAGCCCGGAGACCGGCCAGGAGCGGCCGCCGCCU
RNAcentral lists this non-coding RNA (178 nucleotides) under Arenimonas composti. RNAcentral also lists the same sequence under 1 other name. Lineage: Bacteria; Pseudomonadati; Pseudomonadota; Gammaproteobacteria; Lysobacterales; Lysobacteraceae. The record is from RNAcentral.